AGCGGAGGAAAAGAAACUAACAAGGAUUCCCCUAGUAACGGCGAGUGAAGCGGGAAGAGCUCAAAUUUGAAAUUCUAGUAGCCUUCGGCUGCUCGAGUUGUAAUCUAGAGAAGUGUUUUCCGUGCCGGCCCAUGUACAAGUCCCUUGGAACAGGGCGUCAUAGAGGGUGAGAAUCCCGUCCUUGACAUGGACCCCCGGUGCUCUGUGAUACACUUUCAACGAGUCGAGUUGUUUGGGAAUGCAGCUCAAAAUGGGUGGUGAAUUCCAUCUAAAGCUAAAUAUUGGCGAGAGACCGAUAGCGAACAAGUACCGUGAGGGAAAGAUGAAAAGCACUUUGGAAAGAGAGUUAAACAGUACGUGAAAUUGUUGAAAGGGAAACGAUUGAAGUCAGUCAUGCUCUUUGGUAUUUAUAUCAUUGAGUGGGGUCAACAUCAGUUUUGAUCGAUGGAUAAAGGCACUAGGAAGGUAGCACUCUCGGGUGAACUUAUAGCCUAGCGUCAUAUACAUUGAUUGGGACUGAGGAACGCAGCAUGCCUUUAUGGCCGGGAUUCGUCCACGUACAUGCUUAGGAUGUUGACAUAAUGGCUUUAAACGACCCGUCUU
RNAcentral lists this ribosomal RNA (603 nucleotides) under Naganishia liquefaciens. RNAcentral's name for it is "eukaryotic LSU rRNA". It matches the Rfam family "Eukaryotic large subunit ribosomal RNA", at positions 49 to 655 of the family's 3401-position model. The record is from RNAcentral. Lineage: Eukaryota; Fungi; Basidiomycota; Tremellomycetes; Filobasidiales; Filobasidiaceae.